RNAcentral lists this ribosomal RNA (460 nucleotides) under uncultured bacterium. Its description in RNAcentral is "partial 16S ribosomal RNA". It matches the Rfam family "Bacterial small subunit ribosomal RNA", at positions 338 to 795 of the family's 1533-position model. The record is from RNAcentral.
CCUACGGGAGGCAGCAGUGAGGAAUAUUGGUCACUGGGCGGGAGCCUGAACCAGCCAAGUCGCGUGAGGGAAGACGGUCCUAUGGAUUGUAAACCUCUUUAGGCGGGGAGCAAUGCCGGGCACGCGUGCCCGGAGGGAGAGUACCCGCAGCAUAAGCAUCGGCUAACGCCGUGCCAGCAGCAGCGGUAAAACGGAGGAUGCGAGCGUUAUCCGGAUUUCUUGGGUUAAAGGGGUGCGUAGGCGGAUUUUUAAGUCAGCGGUAAAAUGUCGGGGCUCAACCCGGGCCGGCCGUUGAAACUGGGGAUCUUGAGGGGUCGAGAAGUAUGCGGAAUGCGGGGUGUAGCGGGUAAAUGCAUAGAUAUCACGCAGAACUCCGAUUGCGAAGGCAGCAUACCGGCGCCCGACUGACGCUGAGGCACGAAAGCGUGGGGAUCGAACAGGAUUAGAUACCCGGGUAGUC